AGGGCAAGUUGGUCUAUCGCCGCGAGUGUAAAACCUCGUGGAGGAAAGUCCGGGCAACACAGGGUAACCAGCCGUUUGAAAAAACGGGUAUGCAAAUGGGAACGUUAGCAUAACAGACAGUGCCACAGAAACCAGGUAGCCGAGGCUGCGCAAGCACGUCUGGGUGAUAGUGAAAAUGUGAGGUAAGAGCUCACAGGCCCGGUUAGUAAUAACAGGGUUGGGUAAACCUCUGGUGUUGAAAGGCCAAAUAGGUUGCGGUACAGGCGGCCCGUCUUAUCUUGAUUUAUCAAGAACCGCAACGGGUAGGUCGCAUAGAUAAAUGAUAGAUAUACCCCGACGGUAACGUCUGGGUGAAACAGGACCCGGCUUACAAACUUGCUUUUUUA
This 386-nucleotide RNase P RNA is filed under the name Bacteroidota bacterium. RNAcentral's name for it is "Bacteroidetes bacterium (soil metagenome) RNase P RNA component class A". It matches the Rfam family "Bacterial RNase P class A". Rfam says of the family: Ribonuclease P (RNase P) is a ubiquitous endoribonuclease, found in archaea, bacteria and eukarya as well as chloroplasts and mitochondria. Its best characterised activity is the generation of mature 5'-ends of tRNAs by cleaving the 5'-leader elements of precursor-tRNAs. Lineage: Bacteria; Pseudomonadati; Bacteroidota. The record is from RNAcentral.